Melozone crissalis (California towhee) is the source of this 433-nucleotide long non-coding RNA. RefSeq lists it as uncharacterized. The transcript has 3 exons. Lineage: Eukaryota; Metazoa; Chordata; Aves; Passeriformes; Passerellidae. The record is from RefSeq and is a predicted model, not a curated record.
GCAGCCUCCAGACAGAGGGAGAUGCUGCUGGAGGAUGUGGGCAGCGAGGAGGAGGAGCAGGAGGAUGAUGAGGCACAGUUCCAGGAGACAGAUUCAGGAAGUGAUGAAGACUUCCUCAUGGAAGACGAUGAUGACAGUGACUAUGGCAGCUCAAAAAAGAAAAACAAGAAAGUCUCCAAGAAAUCCAAGCCCGAGAGGAAAGAAAGAAAAUGCCCAAGCCCAGGCUAAAGGCCACAGUGACCCCCAGCCCAGUGAAAGGCAAAGGGAAGGCAGGUCGCCCCACAGCUUCCAAGGCCACGAAAGAAAAAACCCCAUCCCCAAAAGAAGAGGAUGAAGAACCUGAAAGUCCCCCAGAAAAGAAAAAAUCAGCCAGCCCUCCACCAGAAAAAUCAGGGGAUGAGGGCUCUGAAGAUGAAGCGCCCUCUGGUGAAGA